RNAcentral lists this ribosomal RNA (253 nucleotides) under uncultured bacterium. Its description in RNAcentral is "partial 16S ribosomal RNA". It matches the Rfam family "Bacterial small subunit ribosomal RNA", at positions 524 to 776 of the family's 1533-position model. The record is from RNAcentral.
UACGGAGGGUGCAAGCGUUAUCCGGAUUCACUGGGUUUAAAGGGUGCGUAGGCGGAUCGGUAAGUCCGUGGUGAAAUCCUGCAGCUUAACUGCAGAACUGCCAUGGAUACUAUUUAUCUUGAAUGUCGUGGAGGUUAGCAGAAUAUGUCAUGUAGCGGUGAAAUGCUUAGAUAUGACGUAGAAUACCCGUUGCGAAGGCAGCUACCUGCGAGAUAAUUGACGCUGAUGCACGAAAGCGUGGGGAUCAAACAGG